ACGGUGGCAGGAGUAAGCUUGCUGCUUUGCUGACGAGUGGCGGACGGGUGAGUAAUGUCUGGGAAACUGCCUGAUGGAGGGGGAUAACUACUGGAAACGGUGGCUAAUACCGCAUAACGUCGCAAGACCAAAGAGGGGGACCUUCGGGCCUCUUGCCAUCAGAUGUGCCCAGAUGGGAUUAGCUUGUUGGUGAGGUAACGGCUCACCAAGGCGACGAUCCCUAGCUGGUCUGAGAGGAUGACCAGCCACACUGGAACUGAGACACGGUCCAGACUCCUACGGGAGGCAGCAGUGGGGAAUAUUGCACAAUGGGCGCAAGCCUGAUGCAGCCAUGCCGCGUGUAUGAAGAAGGCCUUCGGGUUGUAAAGUACUUUCACGGGGAGGAAGGUGUUGUGG
This 396-nucleotide ribosomal RNA is filed under the name Salmonella enterica subsp. enterica. Its description in RNAcentral is "bacterial SSU rRNA". It matches the Rfam family "Bacterial small subunit ribosomal RNA", at positions 66 to 459 of the family's 1533-position model. Lineage: Bacteria; Pseudomonadati; Pseudomonadota; Gammaproteobacteria; Enterobacterales; Enterobacteriaceae. The record is from RNAcentral.